Molecule: transfer RNA, 69 nt
Filed under: Lateolabrax latus (blackfin seabass)
Lineage: Eukaryota; Metazoa; Chordata; Actinopteri; Acropomatiformes; Lateolabracidae
Description: tRNA-Cys
Source: RNAcentral
AGCUCUGGGGUGUUCCUGACACGUCAGAUUGCAAAUCUGAAGUAGCAGGGUGAUACCCUGCCGGGGCUU